AUUGGUCCAUUAAACCCAAAGUGGAACUUUACACUUUGAAAUGUGAAGUCAAUUAAAGAUUCUCAAGCAGUGAGCUUAUCUUAAAGUGAGUGUGAUUCCACUUCCCCUUCCUUUACAGAAGAGAAACUGGGUGACUUCACUGGUUUCAGAGGGACUGCUGAGUACAGCGCUGCUCGCUGUCUUUAAAAAAAGAAAACCAAACCACCCCAAAAAACUACCUUUGCAGUGUCGUCUUCCUCCUGGAAAGCUGUCUAUCCCUCACACCCAUGGAUAAGUCUGUCUGCAGGUGGCUCCAGGCUGGUGUAAAAAGCUUUCUGAAAAGCAGCUAGACCUUUCUUCCAGCCUGCCUUAAGGGAUUGAGUCUGACCUUUGUGGGCAUCACAUGGUACCAGGUGAAGAGUUACCCAGCAGUUAAAGAUGCCGGUGAUGAUUUGCUAGAGAUGUGUUAAGGCUUCAUGCGUGUAUGUGAAAUGGAUAAACUCCUCCGAUACUGAAGGCAAGGACAUGAGAUGCUCUCGCUGCACUCAGUAUGGCACAGAAACAGGAUUGAACCUUCGCCGUAGCCCUUCACUGCUGAGAGGGGAGAUGCACUCGAUCCUUGGCGUGGGGCUGCGGCAGAUCCUCCAAAGUUCAAAUCCCCAAAAUAAGUGACAUUUUGUCCUGAAUAAUGUUUCUUUAAUGAUAAGCAGAAGCAAAGAACAGAUCUUGGAGCCUGCUCAGCUGUGGGAGAGAAGCAAGGAAUCCAGC
Egretta garzetta (little egret) is the source of this 747-nucleotide long non-coding RNA. RefSeq lists it as uncharacterized. The record is from RefSeq and is a predicted model, not a curated record. The transcript has 5 exons. NCBI's taxonomy places the organism in Eukaryota, Metazoa, Chordata, Aves, Pelecaniformes, Ardeidae.